Molecule: ribosomal RNA, 253 nt
Filed under: uncultured bacterium
Lineage: Bacteria
Description: partial 16S ribosomal RNA
Rfam family: Bacterial small subunit ribosomal RNA
Source: RNAcentral
UACGGGGGGGGCAAGCGUUGUUCGGAAUUACUGGGCGUAAAGGGCUCGUAGGCGGCCAACUAAGUCAGACGUGAAAUCCCUCGGCUUAACCGGGGAACUGCGUCUGAUACUGGAUGGCUUGAGUUUGGGAGAGGGAUGCGGAAUUCCAGGUGUAGCGGUGAAAUGCGCAGAUAUCAGGAAGAACACCCGUGGCGAAGGCGGCUCUCUGGGACGGUACUGACGCUGAGACGCGAAAGCGUGGGGAGCAAACAGG